This 1038-nucleotide long non-coding RNA is filed under the name Homo sapiens (human). RNAcentral's name for it is "HSALNT0060893". The record is from RNAcentral. Lineage: Eukaryota; Metazoa; Chordata; Mammalia; Primates; Hominidae.
GGAGAAACAGGCAUGGAACAGAACACGCUGGAUCCCCAUUCCCAUUUUAUGAGGCAUCUCAGAGAAGAUGAGAGCAAAUGGACAUUUUUUCAAGCAUCCACUAGGCAUCAACUGUUCUGCUGGGCACUGUACAUAUUUAUUAUGAUCCAAUCUUCAUACUUCUACUAAAAUCAUCCUCACUCUCAGAGAAUGGAGCCAUCACCCAUCCAGAGGCACAGGCUGGAUACUUGGAGUCAUCCUCCGCCAUCUGUCACUUUCACCUGUAAGUGGCAUCUGCUGUCAAGUCCUUCUGCAUCACCCCACUAGAACUUCUGGGAUUCAUUUGCUGCAUCCCAGGCCCAUUGCCCCGUAGCCUCCUGAUGCAUCUUCCUGUCUCUACUAGUGCCUCUCCCACCCAUCCUCCAUGCUGCAGUCAAGGUCUCCCAGCCAAAGGCCUUCAGCAACUCCCCACUUCUGCUGCAAGUUGGUUGGGAAUCUUCGCCAAUCACAGAAAUACCCGUGGAUGCUUGUGAUGCAGUCUUCCCCUUCCCUACUCAGAAGUGCCUCCUCAGAGGGCAGGUGGCCCAGGCAUCAGAAAAUGGCAACCUGUUUUACUUCUGAACCUGUAAAUGCAGAGAGCAGUCUGGGAGGGUGGCUGUGCUGAUGAAAGGCAGAGAUGGCCGCGGAUGUCUGCAUGAAUCACACAGGGCUGUGCAGCAGCCAAAAGUCUCUUCAAUCUCUGUGAUUCAUGCAGAUGCCAAUGGCCAUUCUUUGUCCCUCUCUAUUCAUUUUAUUCAUCCAAUAAGCAUUUGUCAACGCCCUACUCCAUGCCAUCCUCCUCCUGAGGAUCCCACAAGCCCUGUUUUGUUCUCUUCUUUUAGCAACAAAUCUCUGCUAACAUCUCCAAUGCCCAUUCACACUGGAUCAGGCGAUUCCUGAUUGGUAGGUUGUGCUCAUGGAACCCCUCUCCCCAGCCAUCAUUCACCUGCAUCCAAGUGCAUCAUCAAACCCCUGAGUUGCUCUUACCCUGAGGAAAGAAUCCAAUGCACCAUUCUCCAU